This 843-nucleotide ribosomal RNA is filed under the name Mycena sanguinolenta. Its description in RNAcentral is "partial large subunit ribosomal RNA". It matches the Rfam family "Eukaryotic large subunit ribosomal RNA", at positions 81 to 906 of the family's 3401-position model. The record is from RNAcentral. Lineage: Eukaryota; Fungi; Basidiomycota; Agaricomycetes; Agaricales; Mycenaceae.
UAGUAACUGCGAGUGAAGCGGGAAAAGCUCAAAUUUAAAAUCUGGCGGUCCCUGUGGCCGUCCGAGUUGUAAUUUAGAGAAGCGUUAUCCGCGCUGGACCGUACACAAGUCUCCUGGAAUGGAGCGUCAUAGAGGGUGAGAAUCCCGUCUUUGGUACGGACUGCCAGGGCAUUGUGAUACGCUCUCAAAGAGUCGAGUUGUUUGGGAAUGCAGCUCAAAAUGGGUGGUAAAUUCCAUCUAAAGCUAAAUAUUGAGGAGAGACCGAUAGCGAACAAGUACCGUGAGGGAAAGAUGAAAAGAACUUUGGAAAGAGAGUUAAACAGUACGUGAAAUUGCUGAAAGGGAAACGCUUGAAGUCAGUCGCGUCGUUCAGGACUCAGCCUUGCUUUUUGCUUGGUGUACUUCUUGUUCGACGGGUCAACAUCAAUUUUGGUCGGUGGAUAAAGGCUUAGAGAAUGUGGCAUCUUCGGAUGUGUUAUAGCUCUGGGUUGCAUACAUCGGCUGGGAUUGAGGAACUCAGCACGCCGCAAGGCCGGGUACUUGUACCACGUACGUGCUUAGGAUGUUGGCAUAAUGGCUUUAAUCGACCCGUCUUGAAACACGGACCAAGGAGUCUAACAUGCCUGCGAGUGUUUGGGUGGAAAACCCGAGCGCGUAAUGAAAGUGAAAGUUGAGAUCCCUGUCGUGGGGAGCAUCGACGCCCGGAGCAGACCUUUUGUGACGCAUCCGCGGUAGAGCAUGUAUGUUGGGACCCGAAAGAUGGUGAACUAUGCCUGAAUAGGGUGAAGCCAGAGGAAACUCUGGUGGAGGCUCGUAGCGAUUCUGACGUGCAAAUCGAUCGUC